RNAcentral lists this ribosomal RNA (465 nucleotides) under uncultured bacterium. RNAcentral describes it as "partial 16S ribosomal RNA". It matches the Rfam family "Bacterial small subunit ribosomal RNA", at positions 338 to 795 of the family's 1533-position model. The record is from RNAcentral.
CCUACGGGAGGCAGCAGUAGGGAAUCUUCCACAAUGGGCGAAAGCCUGAUGGAGCAACGCCGCGUGGGUGAAGAAGGUCCUCGGAUCGUAAAACUCUGUUGAUACAGAAGAAAGUGCGUGAGAGUAACUGUUCACGUUUCGACGGUAUCUAACCAGAAAGCCACGGCUAACUACGUGCCAGCAGCCGCGGUAAUACGUAGGUGGCAAGCGUUAUCCGGAUUUAUUGGGAGGAAAGGGAACGCAGGCGGUCUUUUAGGUGUGAUGUGAAAGCCUUCGGCUUAACCGGAGUAGUGCAUUGGAAACUGGGGGACUUGAGUGCAGAAGAGGAGAGUGGAACUCCAGGUGUAGCGGUGAAAUGCGUAGAUAUAUGGAAGAACACCAGUGGCGAAGGCGGCUCUCUGGUCUGUAACUGACGCUGAGGUUCGAAAGCGUGGGUAGCAAACAGGAUUAGAUACCCUAGUAGUC